UCGUCUAUAAGGUAUGAAAAUUAUUUGCCUUCUUGAAGGAACACAUUUUUAAUUUUAUUGUGUUAUAGGUUAAAUGUAAAUUACAACUCUCCAUAAUUCAAAAUAACCAAACACACUAAAAUGAUUUCUUCCGUCAAAAUAUAUCCUAGAAAAGCAAUUUUCGUCAUACCAAAAUUGUCAGAACUCAAAUGUAUCUACUGCAAAGACUUUCAAGCUUAUGCUUCAUGAAUGUUAACAAUUCCGAUGUAAUCGCAUAAGUGGAGUUUGGAAAGUAUAGUGUAUACAUAAAUCUCACCUCUUUGAGAAGGUGGAGAAGUUGUUUCCA
RNAcentral lists this long non-coding RNA (325 nucleotides) under Capsicum annuum. RNAcentral describes it as "long non-coding RNA (CANN_LNC009712)". Lineage: Eukaryota; Viridiplantae; Streptophyta; Magnoliopsida; Solanales; Solanaceae. The record is from RNAcentral.